Molecule: long non-coding RNA, 2896 nt
Filed under: Capsicum annuum
Lineage: Eukaryota; Viridiplantae; Streptophyta; Magnoliopsida; Solanales; Solanaceae
Description: long non-coding RNA (CANN_LNC005884)
Source: RNAcentral
UCUUAUUGGGUUAUGGUACCCAAUAAGAAAAAAUUGAACCAAACCAAUAACCCAAUAAUUUUUUUAUAAAACCAUUAACAAACCAUUAACCCAAUAACCCAAUAAUAAUAAAUCAAUAACAUUUUUAUCGGUUCGGUUUAUCGGUCGGUUCGAUUUUUGCGCAUCCCUACUUUGAAGACUUCCAUGAAAUAGCACCUGCAUCCAAAGUAAACACAAAGCCAUUAGUGGAGUUAAUUCCAUCAUUGUCGGUCACCCAGUUUGCAUCACAAAAAUCUUCUAAAACAACAGAAAAUUUAUUAAAAUGCAAACACCAAUCCAUAGUGCCUCUCAGAUUCCUUAACAAGCGAUGAAGAGCAUUCUAAUGUUCACUAUUAGGAUUAUAAGUAUACCUACUCAAUCUACUAACAUCAUAAGCUAUAUCAGGUCGAGCAUAGUAAUGAGAAACAUUACACUCCUAAUUAUUUUAGUAUAUUCAGUUUGAGAAACACUGAAAUCUUUAUUUUUUUUUAAGUCUAUGUUAGGAUCAUAAGGAGUUCUCACUUACAUCAAAACAAUCAAAUCUUUUCAACAUCUUUUCAAUAUAAUGAGACUAGAACAAAGAGAAAUCAUUAACAAUUCUUUUGAUUUUAAUCCCUAGAAUUACAUCAGGUCUUUCAUUUUAAAUUUAGAAAAUAAAAAUUUCUUAGUCUUAUUUACAACAUUCAUAUUAGGGCCAAAGAUUAACAUGUCAUCCACAUAUAAAUAUAUAAUCACACAAUCUGAUCCUAUCAUUUUAGAGUAAACACCGAUAUCAGAUGAAUUAAACACAAAGUCAUUAUUCAUUAAUGUGAAAUUAAAUUUUUCAUACCACUGCUUAGGUGCCUUCUUAAAUCCAUAUAAGGAUUUUCUCAAUUUACAUACUUUAUCCUCUUGUCCUUGGAUCACAAAAUCCUUAGGUUGAGUCAUAUAGAUCUCUUCCUCUAAAUCAUCAUUUAAAAAUAUUAUUUUGAUAUUCAUUUGGCGUACAACUAAAUUAUGAAUAGUGGCUAUAGCAAUAAUGUCACGACCCAGAAUAGGCUUAUGACCGACGUUAAGGUGUUUAGGACUCCAAAGCAAACCUCGUCAGAAUUCUACAGAAAAUCGAACAGUGUUUCCCCAGUUUUAGGGCCUAACAAAAAAAUUUUCUGUCUUAAAUCCACAACACAACAGCCCAACAUCACAACCAAUACAUCAAAUACCAACACAAUCCAACCAAAAUCACCAACAAUGUACUAAUACCACCAAUAUCAAUAUGAAAUCCAUCUCUAAAAACAAGAGGAAGUCAAAUACUCCACAAAUCCAAAUAAUGAACGAAUACUCAAAACUCUAAAGACAUGACUAUGAAGCAGCUCUAAGAGUUUUCAAGAAGACGAACAUAAAAAUAAAUAAGCUUUGCCCACGCGAACAAAUGCAGGGCUCACCAGGAAUAUGCCACUAGAAUCCUCUAGCUAACAAAAUCCUCACCAUCACCUGCGUUCUCUAUGAUAAUAAUAGCAAGGAGUGAGACGCUAACUCAGUGAGUAAUAACACUUAACCACAACCGUUUUAAUGGGGACAAGUCAUCAAAUAUCAUGAAAUAAGUGCUCUUUCAGAAAAUAGUAACUCACUUGCGUUCUCUGUAAAAAUAAUAGCGAGGAGUGAGACGCUAGCUCAGUAAGUAAUAACACUUAACCACAACUGUUUUAAUGAGGAAAAGUCAUAAAACAUCAUGAAAUAAAUGCUCUUUCUGAAAAUAAUAAUAAUAAACAGUAUACUUUGUUUCAUGUAAGCAAAGUGAAUCAAUAGUUCAGUAAUAAACUCAAAAAGCAUCGUAUCAUAUCAAAUAUUACAUAUUUGGAAGGUUUUCAAGAAUGAAUCAUGUAAUCAAUAUGGCAUUCUUCACCAAGAAUAGCCUAUAAUAGUGAACCCCUCAUAAAGGAGUCAAAUAUCAUAUCAGUAAAAAUAUGCUAGUUCUACCUUCCCACUAGCGAGGGUUGUAACAGUCAUCAGUAAAUACAAGGUGCACAAGGUCUAACGAUCCCGCCGUUAGCUACGGAAUUCAAAUCAAGGUCUACUCCAUUUAUAAAUUCUUUGUAAACAAUAUGAUAUUCAUAUGAAAGCAUUUUUCAGAAUAGUACAUAUUAUUUAAAGUUCAUAUCAAAUCAUGUUACAUGUAAACUUGAAUAAAAACACAUGUCAAAAUACAUAUUUCUCAUGUAAGUGAAGAAUAUUCAUAAUAAUAAUAUCAUAUAUCAAAUAACAAUUUCAAUAUCAUAUCAAGUAAAGGACUUGCCCCACGUGCAACUUCAACGCAUUUUGUAACUCAUUGUUUCAUCAAAAAUAUGUAUAAAUAUGCAAUUUAACAAACACAAAUUGUGGAAAGAUUACUACUCACAGUACACGUGUCAAAAUACCAAACUUGUCACCCCGAACGAUUCGUAUCACUUUCUUCGAUCAAAUCUAUAGUCACGUUAUAUCAAUAUCGCGUUAAUUCUCUUAUUUAGGCUAACUUCAUGAUGAAAUUAGAUAACCCAACCCUCAAGGUUUCAUGAUAACUUUUAAUUUAUCAAACUUUGUAUUCAAAACAAUAUCUUAUUACCCAAAAUUCUUGUCUUUAGCAACUAAAUUUCAAUACCCAAAAUAAAUUAUCAAGAUUAAAAAUCACAGUAAAGAUGUAGGAACGAAUUUACCUUAAACUCGAAAGAAUUUUCCAAUCAAACCCUUAAGCUUUUCCUUUUUUUCACUAAACAACAGACUUGAUUGUUUUUUGUUUUCUUCUUCGUACGUAAUUGGGCAGAACUGCUACUGCCUAGUUACUCCCUUUGAAUUUCUUCCUUGCACGUUAAUGGGCAAACAAGCCAUUUUUUUCUUUUGGUUGGAAGUGUCUUACGCAGCAAAU